Molecule: unclassified non-coding RNA, 266 nt
Filed under: Hevea brasiliensis (rubber tree)
Lineage: Eukaryota; Viridiplantae; Streptophyta; Magnoliopsida; Malpighiales; Euphorbiaceae
Source: RNAcentral
GAAUUAUCCAUUAUAAAUUUGUGACAAAUUGUGUUAUCCGUGACAAAUUUGUGACGAAUUGAAUUAUCCGUUACAAAUUUUUGUGGACAAAAUAUAUUUUGUAACAAAUUUGUUACGGAAUUGUGUUUUCCAUUUAAAAUUUGUGACGGAUAAUUUAAUCAGUCACAAAUGCUUAUUUUAGAAUUUUCUAACCAAACUAUUAUUUUUAUGUAGCUUAAAUUUUGAAUAUGUUUUUAUGGAUCUGAAUUGUGACUCAACCUGAAAAC